CCUACGUGAGGCAGCAGUGAGGAAUAUUGGUCAAUGGGCGUAAGCCUGAACCAGCCAAGUCGCGUGAGGGAUGAAGGUUCUAUGGAUCGUAAACCUCUUUUAUAAGGGAAUAAAGUGUGGGACGUGUCCUGCUUUGUAUGUACCUUAUGAAUAAGGAUCGGCUAACUCCGUGCCAGCAGCCGCGGUAAUACGGAGGAUCCGAGAGUUAUCCGGAUUUAUUGGGUUUAAAGGGUGCGUAGGCGGCCGUUUAAGUCAGCGGUGAAAGUCUGUGGCUCAACCAUGGAAUUGCCGUUGAAACUGGGAGGUGUGAUUAUGUUUGAGGCAGGCGGAAUGCGUGGGGUAGCGGUGAAAUGCUUAGAUAUCACGCAGAACCCCGAUUGCGAAGGCAGCCUGCCAAGCCAUGACUGACGCUGAUGCACGAAAGCGUGGGGAUCAAACAGGAUUAGAUACCCCUGUAGUC
Molecule: ribosomal RNA, 460 nt
Filed under: uncultured bacterium
Lineage: Bacteria
Description: partial 16S ribosomal RNA
Rfam family: Bacterial small subunit ribosomal RNA
Source: RNAcentral